This is a non-coding RNA of Anas platyrhynchos (mallard), 1564 nucleotides long. The record is from RefSeq and is a predicted model, not a curated record. NCBI's taxonomy places the organism in Eukaryota, Metazoa, Chordata, Aves, Anseriformes, Anatidae.
GGCGCCUCCCCGCGAGGAGUCCCGGCGGCCGCCGCCGCGGCUGCUGACCGACAGGUCCGAGUCGGAGCCCGGCGAGCCCGGGGCGGAGUGAGCCGGCGAGCAGCUGCCCUCGCUGGAGUGCGGCGAGGCCCCGUAGAAGUUGCAGCAGGCUGCUGUGAGGCAGCCGGAGCCCGGCAGAGAGGAGUGGGCAAGGCGCACGGUGCCGAAACUAAAGGCGGGUGAAACUGUGCGCCUGUGACAAAUGUCAACAGCACCGGUGACUUCUGACCCGCAUUCACCAGGGAGACUUCCCCCCAUCUUCCAAAAAACACGUUUCUCCUUUCUCAUCUACCACCAAGGUCAUCGUCUUCUAAAAAACAAGCGUGUGUGUUUGUCCGCACGACAUUGUGAUUAGGAUGUUGUUAGCACAGUGGCUGCCCCCAAAAAUAUGCAGUAAAACAACACUGUAUUUCUAAAGCAUAUUAUGUAGAUUGGAGGUCUAUAAUUUAGAUUAUUAUACAUGUUUUAAUUGUGCUAAAAAACAUGGGACAGGUGCAACGUGAAAUUAUAUUAAUCAGCCAUGAGGAGGCAGGAGGGAAUUAUUUUGUAUUAUUCAAACAUUUCUUCCCUUGUCAGGUGAAGACAGGGUUUCACUUGGAGUUAUCUACAGCUUCCUACUACAGAAAGCUGUGUGUGCUUUUAAGCCAUAGAACAAAUUUAUGCAGUCACAGUAAAACUUGCAAAUGUGACGUAUGAAGGCAAGUCAAACACUGCAUUGUGCCUGAAAUAGCAUAGUCUAAUAAAGGUAAAAAUUCCUUUGUUACCUAAUCAGCAGCUAUCUCCUAACUGAGUGUUCUCACUGAUUUCAGUGAACCUCUUUAUGCAAGCAAGGAUCUGUGAAAUCAGGCAGUAUGUUUUAAACAUGCGAGAAGAUUGUUCUCCGUUGUUCUCCAAACCUUAGAUCUCAAUUACGAUACCUUAGCCUUAGGUAGAUACUUUAAGCAUUUCCUUGUUAAAAAGCACUUGCUGAUCAGAGAUCCCUUAACCCUCGAAUGCGCUUUAUGCACUCGGUGACUGAUAGGAGGAUCUGUAACACAGCUUUCUGCAGGCGGAUCCGACUGGAUCUUGUCUUCUUACAGCCAAACAACAACACGAAUCCGAGAAGUAUGUAAUUGAAAGAAUUAGAUUUAGUGCUGGAGCUGUCUGUAAUUCCCUUAAAAAUGCCAAGGGUAAAAAUGAAUGUCAAACCAAAAGUGUAUUCCACACAUUUUAAUUCUACUAGGUCAUGGAAGGCCCUCAGAACACAUACAGGCAGGGAUGAGCAACAUCUUUAUCGUUGCUAUUCCGUAAUCAUUUUGGAACUGAUUAAUUGAAGAUUAGCCUCUACAUAUAAAUGGAAAAUAUUCUGUAAAACAAUUUAAUGAGGUUUUUACCUUAAUGCAAAGAGGGUGUGGAAUUUCUUUUUCUGUUCCGAAGUUUCAACUCUACUGAAGUCUGAAUUGUUGACUUGCUUUCAUUUUACUAAGCAAAAUCCACUUCAGGCAACACUCUGAUACCUUAACUCAUGGUUGUUUCAUCAGCAAAA